AUUACAAGCUAUAUAGAGAAUGAAAAAUGGCUACUGGUACUCAUAUGGUACUGGAAGCUAAAAAGAAUAAACUAAAUAAUAGUUCCAAGUGGUUUACAUUUGGACAAAAAAUUAGAUCAUAACUUAAGUGUUA
Molecule: small RNA, 133 nt
Organism: Peptoniphilus harei ACS-146-V-Sch2b
Lineage: Bacteria; Bacillati; Bacillota; Tissierellia; Tissierellales; Peptoniphilaceae
Rfam family: Streptococcus sRNA SpR18
Source: Rfam